GUUUUAAUUAAGGAGAAGCUUCGUGUAGGUGUCGGACUCGCUCUCGUUCACUGCCCCGCAACAGACAGCGAGACUCGAUCAUCAAUGAGGUAUGUGAUGAACAAGCUGAUGAGGUUGCGGAAACAGCAAAUUUGCAUGGGGAAUAUGAACUGAGAGGAUGUAAACAACAGAAUGAAUUGGACAGUACUAGAUAUAUAGUAUGCAUCAAAAUAUUCAAUGCUUUACUAAUUCUUUCGUUGGAUGAUUGUUGUUUAGUUUUCUUAAUUCCCAAUAUAUAUAAGUGGAUGCAGAAACUCUCUGCUAAUAUAUUAUUUGCGUAUGUUUUAGCUGAAUAUACUAGCAGAGAGUUUCUUGAAUAUUAUUUGUGUAUGUUUCAGCUUGCUUGAAUGAAAAAGAUGCACAUACAUUGCAAUGUUGUCAUUGGCAGCUUGUUUUAUUAUUGUGCAUCUUAUACCACACAGUGGUGCUCCAAUAACAAAAUCAACAUUUCUGAGAGGUGUAUCUUUUGGUUCUUGACAUUUUCCAGAAUGGAAAUUUUCGUAGCGAGUUUUAACUUCCACACCUUUUUGGCUAUCCAUGUUGUGUUUCUUUUCUCUUUUUCUCUCCAACGUGCUUUUCUUGGCAAUGAAACCGACAAACUUGCCUUUCUUGGAUUCAAGUCCCAAAUAACUGAGGAUCUAUCAAGAGUUUUCGUCUCUUGGAAUUAUUCUAUUCAUUUCUGUCAGUGGACUGGAGUAAAAUGUCGCCUGAGAUAUGGAUGAGUCAUCCGCUUGAAUCUCAAAGGGCUGAGGCUGGCAGGUACAAUCUCAGGUCAUCUUGGGAACCUCUCUUUGCAGAAAAUGCCUCCCUCAACAACUCAGCAGGCUGUCAAGGCUUCAAAACCUGAAUUUGAGUUUCAACUAUCUAACAGGGGAAAUUUCAGUUAAUCUAUCACAUUGUGUUAACCUCAAGAGCCUUGUCCUCGAACACAACGCUCUUCUGGGGAAAAUUCCUAACCAAGUUUUAUCUUUAACGAAGUUCUAUUGGAAAUCUUACAUCUUUAGAAGAGUUGUAUUUAUCAUACAAUAAUCUAGAGGGACAAGUGCCAGUUUCUUUUGCUCAAUUGACCAAGUUGAGGCUUCUUGGAUUGUCAGUAAAUAGCUUAUCCGGGGAGUUCCCUCCUCCGUUGUACGAUUUGUCAUCCCUGGUAAUCUCAGAUCCGAUUUACUUCCCUAAUUUCCAAAUACUUUACUUGGUGAAAUGUCAAUUCAUUGGUUCCAUACCAUCCUCUUUGGCCAAUGCUUCAAAAUUGC
Molecule: long non-coding RNA, 1292 nt
Organism: Solanum stenotomum
Lineage: Eukaryota; Viridiplantae; Streptophyta; Magnoliopsida; Solanales; Solanaceae
Exons: 3
Source: RefSeq, a predicted model, not a curated record